AGCGAACAUUGGCGGUAGGCUUAACACAUGCAAGUCGAGCGAGGCGUAAUAGUCGAGCGGCGAACGGGUGAGUAAUACAUGGGAAUCUACCCUGAAGUGGGGGAUAACGUUCAGAAAUGGACGCUAAUACCGCAUAAUCCACAUUGGGAAAGCGUUGCAGCGCUUUAGGAUGAGCCCAUGGCUGAUUAGCUAGUUGGUGAGGUAAUGGCUCAACAAGGCGACGAUCAGUAGCUGGUCUGAGAGGAUGAUCAGCCACACUGGAACUGAGACACGGUCCAGACUCCUACGGGAGGCAGCAGUGGGGAAUCUUGCGCAAUGGGGGCAACCCUGACGCAGCCAUACCGCGUGAGUGAUGAAGGUCUUCGGAUUGUAAAGCUCUUUCGGCGGGGACGACGAUGACGGUACCCGCAAAAGAAGUCACGGCUAACUUCGUGCCAGCCGCCGCAGUAA
Molecule: ribosomal RNA, 450 nt
Filed under: uncultured bacterium
Lineage: Bacteria
Description: partial 16S ribosomal RNA
Rfam family: Bacterial small subunit ribosomal RNA
Source: RNAcentral